GAUGAACGCUGGCGGCGUGCCUAAUACAUGCAAGUCGAGCGAACGGACGAUAAGCUUGCUUCUCUGAUGUUAGCGUCUGACGUGUGAGUAGCACGGUGAUAACCUACCUAUAUGACUGGGAUAGCUUCGUGAAUCCGGGGCUAAUACCGUAAAAUAUUUUGAACCUCAUUGUUCAAAAAUAAAAGACUGUCUGACUGUAACUUAUAGAUGGAUCCUCGCUGCAUUAUCUAGUUGGUAAGGUAACGGCUUACCAAGGCAACGAUGCAUAGCCGACCUGAGAGGGUGAGCGGCAAACCUGGAACUGAGACACGCUCCAGACUCCUACGGGAGGAAGAAGAAGGGAAUCUUCCGCAAGGGGGGAAAGCCUGCCGGAGAAACGCCGCGUGAGUGAUGAAGUUCUUCGGAUCGUAAACCUCUUUUAUUAGGGAAGAACAUAUGUGUAAGUAAAUGUGCACAUCGUGACGGUACCUAAUCAGAAAGCCACGGCUAACUACGUG
Molecule: ribosomal RNA, 497 nt
Filed under: uncultured bacterium
Lineage: Bacteria
Description: partial 16S ribosomal RNA
Rfam family: Bacterial small subunit ribosomal RNA
Source: RNAcentral